This 425-nucleotide ribosomal RNA is filed under the name uncultured bacterium. RNAcentral's name for it is "bacterial SSU rRNA". It matches the Rfam family "Bacterial small subunit ribosomal RNA", at positions 354 to 796 of the family's 1533-position model. The record is from RNAcentral.
GUGGGGAAUUUUGCGCAAUGGGGGAAACCCUGACGCAGCGACGCCGCGUGGAGGAUGAAGGCCUUCGGGUUGUAAACUCCUUUUGUCGGGGACGAUAGUGACGGUACCCGGCGAAUAAGCCACGGCUAACUCUGUGCCAGCAGCCGCGGUAAGACAGAGGUGGCAAGCGUUGUUCGGAAUUACUGGGCUUAAAGGGCGCGUAGGCGGCGAUGUAAGUCCGAUGUGGAAUCCUUCGGCUUAACCGGAGAAUUGCAUUGGAAACUGCGUUGCUUGAGUCAGCGAGGGGAGGGCGGAAUUCCUGGUGUAGCAGUGAAAUGCGUAGAUAUCAGGAGGAAGGCCGGUGGCGAAGGCGGCCCUCUGGCGCUAGACUGACGCUGAGGCGCGAAAGCGUGGGGAGCAAACAGGAUUAGAAACCCUGGUAGUCC